GGAUAGAUGGCUGAGCGGUCGAAAGCACCGGUCUUGAAAACCGGCAGAUGUGUAAGCAUCUCGUGGGUUCGAAUCCCACUCUAUCCG
RNAcentral lists this transfer RNA (87 nucleotides) under Alphaproteobacteria bacterium. RNAcentral's name for it is "tRNA-Ser". It matches the Rfam family "tRNA". Rfam says of the family: Transfer RNA (tRNA) molecules are approximately 80 nucleotides in length. Their secondary structure includes four short double-helical elements and three loops (D, anti-codon, and T loops). Further hydrogen bonds mediate the characteristic L-shaped molecular structure. tRNAs have two regions of fundamental functional importance: the anti-codon, which is responsible for specific mRNA codon recognition, and the 3' end, to which the tRNAs corresponding amino acid is attached (by aminoacyl-tRNA synthetases). tRNAs cope with the degeneracy of the genetic code in two manners: having more than one tRNA (with a specific anti-codon) for a particular amino acid; and 'wobble' base-pairing, i.e. permitting non-standard base-pairing at the 3rd anti-codon position. The record is from RNAcentral. Lineage: Bacteria; Pseudomonadati; Pseudomonadota; Alphaproteobacteria.